AUGGGCCAUGAGGUGGGACCACUGAGGACCUGGAAGCCCCCAUGCAGAUUAGCAGAGGCUACACUCCUGUUGCUGCAGAGAACCUGACUCCAGGCCACACUGAAGUUCCCAGCUGUGAACAGGAGCUCACAUUUCAUGCUGACAUAGUUAUAUCACUUGGGCAUCACAAGUAAGACUUGGUCGUUAGGAAUAUUACGCCUGGAUAUCACGCCUGGGGAGCCAGGGCUGGCCUGAGGUAGUCUGCUAGUUGGUUACUAUUUGAAUAUUUGUGCCAAUCUCAAGACGGCAAAACAGCCCUUUCUUUUUUUCCUUCCCCCCAGCACCACACGGCUUACAAGGCCUUAGUUCCUCCACCCAGGGACUGAACCUGGGCCAUGGCAGUGAAAGCACCAAGUCCUAACCACUGGACUGCCAGGGAAUUCCCCAAACACCCCCUCCUUUGGAAUUAGCAUAGUUGGGUCCCCUAAAGUAUCAGCGAUAUUAUUUGGGGGUUAGAACCCCUGGGAGGGAUCCUGAAACCUGCUUAUCCAAGGUCACCAACCAGAAAGCAGCCUGAAAUCUGAGAGCACCACGGGGAGGCUGACUCUCCCCAGGCCUGACCCUGAGACGCAGAUGUAAGUGAUUUUCUGGGAUUCCAGGGGGUGGCUACAAGAGGCUGGGUGACUCCUGGUGACAUUCUGUGAUCCUGCCUAUGUGGACCUGGAGGUGGGGGUGGGCUAGGAUGGGAAAGGAGAUGUUGAUUUUUUUUUUUUUUGUGGUACGCGGGCCUCUCACUGUUGUGGCCUCUCCCGUUGCGGAGCACAGGCUCCAGACGUGCAGGCUCAGCGGCCAUGGCUCACGGGCCCAGACGCUCCGUGGCAUGUGGGAUCUUCCCGGACCGGGGCAUGAACCCGUGUCCCCUCCAUCGGCAGGCGGACUCUCAACCACUGCGCCACCAGUGAAGCCCGAUGUUGAUGUUUUAACGUGGUCCUGAACUUCAGCUCAGCCAAACUUCAGAAAGUUAAAGAAACGGAACAUUUAGGGGUUACCAGGGCUCUCGUGUCUCUGCCUCCUCCAUGUCCUUUCCUUCUGCUCUUUGAUUACUUAUCCUGGGGGUCAGGGCUGUGGGGAGAGGGGAUGGAGUCAGAGCUGCACUGAAAGCAGCCACCACGGAGGAGAGGUCUGCCUCCAUCCUGACAAAAGAACCAAGGCAAAAGGAAGGCCAGCUUAGGCUACCAGGGGAAGAAAAGCGAGUAUCUGCUCACCACAUGCACAUGCUCUGGGGAAUGGGAACUGCUAUCUGUGCAAUGCCCUUGAUCCUCUGAUUUAAUAUGGCCCACUUUGGUUUUAGGGAAAACACUCUGCUUCCUGACGCUCACUGUUUUCUAAAUCCUCACAUACCUUCUGUGCAGUAAUCCAUUCUUGAAUUUUGCCAAGGAUCCACAUCAAAAUUUCUUGUCUACAGUUUUUAGUAUAUAUUAUUUUCAUCAUAUUGCAAAUAGAGCUAUCUGUCCUUUCCUGGUCUUGCAGCAUCUCUCUGAUCUUCAUGGUUUCUCAAAGACUAUUGACAGGGAUUCUGAGAAUAAGGCUCCGGUGCUGUCAGUUGUCUGGGGUGGAAUCACCUGGGCCUGGCAGAUUGAGCUCAUUAAAAUCUUACUGUCUUCUCACCUGGGAGGUCUGUCUGGUCUCUCCAGGCAUGCAAUGGUAAUUUAGAAGUUCUACCUUCUCCCUUAUCUAUGGCUUUUGUUAUCUUCCCAAGCAGUGACCUUUCCUCUCACAUCUCUUGCUCUGAAGAGGCUAAUUUAGAAAUAACUCUUGAUGUCUCUCUCCUUUUCCACAAGCAAUCUUUCAUUCUGGGCUUAAUCCUUUGGACAAUACUCUUAGUCUUUUAUGACUAUUCAAUAAAUAUAAGUAAAAAUAAUUUGUUAAUUAUGAUAUAUUGAUUUGAUUAAAUCAAUCAACACUUAGGUCGGAUUUCAGUCGGCUCCCCAAUCCCCCCUCAGCCCACAGAGGAAACGAUGCCCACCUGUGGAUGCCCACUGAAUAGUGUUGGGAAAGCUCUGGAGGAUGUUUUGCUGGUACCUCCAGACACAACUGUAUGGUCAGACCAUUCAAGAUGGCUGUUCUCUUGCUCUCUGUCCAUUCUCUGCUGACCAGCCCCUCCUUCACCUACAUGACUAUCCAAUCUGCUUAACUAUAGGGCUUAAUCAGUAACCACCUACAUGCUUGCCCCCACCCCCAGGCUCUGGUUUCCCUGGUGAGCCUACUUCACAUCAAUUCUCCCUAUAAAUGGUCGCCUCCCUCACCGAGUAGUGAAGAUUGCUGCCUUGUUCUGCCUGCUGUUUGCCGAACACUGUGGAGCGUUGCUCCAGGACCUUUGUUUAGGACUUUUGGUGACUGGUGUGGCCAGGGAGGAAAGGGGCCUGGGAGUGACCACCCACCUCUGGAAGCAUGACUGAGCUGAGCCUGAAGCCUCUGGUUUUCUUCCCUAAGGACUCUGUUCUCACUGCAGAGCUGAGGUGUGGACUCCAGGCCCGGACUGUAGAAGUUAGAGCUCACCUGAAAGAAAGUGGCUCAGGAGAAAGCCUAGAACUGUGGAGCCCCAGAACUGAUCUCUGUCAUCUGUUUCUUCAAGAAGUAGAGAAACAGAGAUCUUCAUAAAGAAAUGAUCCAUAUGAGGGCUGAGAUACUCCAGCGAUUAGAGCAGAGGAGAAAACCUAAAAGACAGUGGAGGGACCUGAACUGAGCCCACACACUGAAAACACAGAACUGAGGCAGGAGACGGAAGAAAGAAAAUCAGCAGGUUUGGAGGACGAAAAAAACCCAAAGAAAAGCAAGGUAAUGGUGGAGGAGGUGGUUGCCAAGGAAGGUGAGAAUAAGAACCAGCUGAGUUCAGAAAAGUCAAGAGAACGUGAGGAAUGCACACAGCAUCAUCCAGGUCCUCAAUGAGCAGCCUGAGCUGAGCAGGGAGGACUGAGAGAGUAACUUACUGCAAAGUGAACUUGUGCACAUGCCAAGGAGAUCCACAGGACGGAUCAGGGCUGGUUUAUACUUCUGGGAACACCAAUUCCAGGAGGAGGAGGAUGGGACCUUGAUGCUCUGCCCUAGGCCCCCCAAACCUCAAACUUGGAACUGCCCACAUAGUGGAUGCCCUCCAACUGCAUGGUCUCUUCUGGUCCAAGAACCCUGGUUCUCAGUUAGCUUUGAGCCUCUCAGGAUCCAACUAACACCUGGGCUCCAUGUUGCCUCAAAGCAAUCAACACUGCCAAGGUCUCCAGAGAAAACUACUAAUAACAGUAGUUACUGACUAUGUCCUGGCCAGCUGGAGAGAUA
This is a long non-coding RNA of Orcinus orca (killer whale), 3312 nucleotides long. RefSeq lists it as uncharacterized. The record is from RefSeq and is a predicted model, not a curated record. NCBI's taxonomy places the organism in Eukaryota, Metazoa, Chordata, Mammalia, Artiodactyla, Delphinidae. The transcript has 5 exons.